RNAcentral lists this ribosomal RNA (254 nucleotides) under uncultured prokaryote. RNAcentral describes it as "partial 16S ribosomal RNA". It matches the Rfam family "Bacterial small subunit ribosomal RNA", at positions 525 to 777 of the family's 1533-position model. The record is from RNAcentral.
ACGUAGGGUGCGAGCGUUAAUCGGAAUUACUGGGCGUAAAGCGUGCGCAGGCGGUGCGCCAAGCUCGAUGUGAAAGCCCUGGGCUUAACCUAGGAAUUGCGCUUGAGACUGGAUAGCUUGGAGUGCGGCAGAGGGAGGUGGAAUUCCACGUGUAGCAGUGAAAUGCGUAGAGAUGUGGAGGAACACCGAUGGCGAAGGCAGCCUCCUGGGCCAGCACUGACGCUCAUGCACGAAAGCGUGGGGAGCAAACAGGA